Vicia villosa (hairy vetch) is the source of this 912-nucleotide long non-coding RNA. RefSeq lists it as uncharacterized. The record is from RefSeq and is a predicted model, not a curated record. The transcript is spliced from 3 exons. Lineage: Eukaryota; Viridiplantae; Streptophyta; Magnoliopsida; Fabales; Fabaceae.
AAUAGAUUGAACAAAGAUUCGCCUGCACACUCGGCCCCACGGUUACAUUCAAGACCCCUGAAUUUUCUCAUUCAACCCUAACUUCCUAAAUUCUCUAAGUCCACUUUAACUCCUAACUUCUCUCAAGUUUCACACGUACAAGUUAUAGUUUCAAUCACUAUAUAACGACCGCAGAAACCGAAUGGGAAAAUACACACCCUAACCUCUAAUUUUCACUCCGAAAACGAAAAUUCUCACGAAACCAAAAGAACAAGGAAAGGGAAGAAUCGAUACCUGUGUUUUCGUGACGAAGAAACCAAAGAACUCGACAUCUCCAUUCUUAUUGCGACUCAUUUUUUAUUGAACAACACCAUUCUCAACAUUUUGUGAAGCGUUAUCUAUGUCACCAACUGGUCCUGCAACUUCAAUACACAUUGGGCCGAGACGUCCCUGUAACUUUAAUAGGUAACUUUGGCUUUGGCUGGCAGGUUAGCCUCUUACAUAGCUAGUUACUUUCACAACAUCGGCAGAAGAUUGUUCAUAAUUUAGAUGGAGAUUGGACAGGGUUCUAAGGUCAAGAUUCAGGAAGACUGAGUGGUAUCGAGGAUAUUUCACAUUCAACCUUAGCCACCCGCCAAUGCACUUAGUGUGAACAUCAUGUGUACAAGGUAUGUUUGAUUGUUUGGCUGCAACCUGGGCAACUAUGGUGAAGGAAUGAGGGAAAACAAAGCAUACUAGCAUAAAGCAAUUGAUGAUGGAUAAAUACUUGGUGCAAGGAAUGGUUCUUUGGUUCAUAAUUCAAAUAGGCUUAGAUUUUUACUUAGAACUCAAACAAAUUGUAACAUUCUUGGAUAAAUUAUAGCAUGACCCAAAAUUCUACUUGAGAUGUUUGAAUAGAAUUUGUAAUGAUAUUUGCAAUUCAUAAGUCCAAAA